Molecule: small RNA, 28 nt
Filed under: Bombyx mori (domestic silkworm)
Lineage: Eukaryota; Metazoa; Arthropoda; Insecta; Lepidoptera; Bombycidae
Description: ovarian small RNA-33811
Source: RNAcentral
UGCCGUCUGUGAAGAAUCGUACAUCUUG